RNAcentral lists this signal recognition particle RNA (299 nucleotides) under Cebus imitator (Panamanian white-faced capuchin). RNAcentral's name for it is "Metazoan signal recognition particle RNA (ENSCCAG00000009773.1)". It matches the Rfam family "Metazoan signal recognition particle RNA". Rfam says of the family: The signal recognition particle (SRP) is a universally conserved ribonucleoprotein. It is involved in the co-translational targeting of proteins to membranes. The eukaryotic SRP consists of a 300-nucleotide 7S RNA and six proteins: SRPs 72, 68, 54, 19, 14, and 9. Lineage: Eukaryota; Metazoa; Chordata; Mammalia; Primates; Cebidae. The record is from RNAcentral.
GCUGGGCAUGGUGGCACGUGCCUGUAGUCCCAGCUACUUGGGAGGCUGAGGCUGGAGGAUCACUUGAGUCCAGGAGUUCUGGGCUGUAGUGCGCUAUGCCGAUCAGGUGUCCGCACUAAGUUCGGCAUCAAUAUGGUGAACUCCCGGGAGCGGGGAACCACCAGGUUGCCUAAGGAGGGGUGAACCGGCCCAGGUCAGAAAUGGAGCAGGUCAAAACUCCUGUGCUGAUCAGUAGUGGGAUCGCGCCUGUGAAUAGCCACUGCACUGCAGCCUGGGCAACGUAGUGAGACCCUGUCUCU